This 465-nucleotide ribosomal RNA is filed under the name Vreelandella stevensii. RNAcentral describes it as "partial 16S ribosomal RNA". It matches the Rfam family "Bacterial small subunit ribosomal RNA", at positions 338 to 795 of the family's 1533-position model. The record is from RNAcentral. Lineage: Bacteria; Pseudomonadati; Pseudomonadota; Gammaproteobacteria; Oceanospirillales; Halomonadaceae.
CCUACGGGGGGCAGCAGUGGGGAAUAUUGGACAAUGGGGGCAACCCUGAUCCAGCCAUGCCGCGUGUGUGAAGAAGGCCCUCGGGUUGUAAAGCACUUUCAGUGAGGAAGAACGCCUGGUGGUUAAUACCCAUCAGGAAAGACAUCACUCACAGAAGAAGCACCGGCUAACUCCGUGCCAGCAGCCGCGGUAAUACGGAGGGUGCGAGCGUUAAUCGGAAUUACUGGGCGUAAAGCGCGCGUAGGUGGCUUGAUAAGCCGGUUGUGAAAGCCCCGGGCUCAACCUGGGAACGGCAUCCGGAACUGUCAAGCUAGAGUGCAGGAGAGGAAGGUAGAAUUCCCGGUGUAGCGGUGAAAUGCGUAGAGAUCGGGAGGAAUACCAGUGGCGAAGGCGGCCUUCUGGACUGCCACUGACACUGAGGUGCGAAAGCGUGGGUAGCAAACAGGAUUAGAUACCCCUGUAGUC